UACGAACCGGACAAACGUUAUUCGGAAUUAUUGGGCUUAAAGGGUGCGUAGGCGGCGCGGUAAGUGAGGUGUGAAAGCCCACGGCUCAACCGUGGAACUGCGCUUCAUACUGCCGUGCUUGAGGGAGACAGAGGUAAGCGGAACUGAUGGUGGAGCGGUGAAAUGCGUUGAUAUCAUCAGGAACACCGGUGGCGAAAGCGGCUUACUGGGUCUCUUCUGACGCUGAGGCACGAAAGCUAGGGUAGCGCACGGG
Molecule: ribosomal RNA, 253 nt
Filed under: uncultured bacterium
Lineage: Bacteria
Description: partial 16S ribosomal RNA
Rfam family: Bacterial small subunit ribosomal RNA
Source: RNAcentral